UCCAUAUAAUGAUACAUUUUAGAAUGAGC
Molecule: non-coding RNA, 29 nt
Filed under: Mus musculus (house mouse)
Lineage: Eukaryota; Metazoa; Chordata; Mammalia; Rodentia; Muridae
Source: RNAcentral